UAGGGAAUUUUCGUCAAUGGGGGAAGGACCCUGAACGAGCAAUGCCGCGUGUGUGAAGAAGGUCUUCGGAUCGUAAAGCACUGUUGUAAGUGAAGAAUGCCAUAUAGAGGAAAUGCUAUGUGGGUGACGGUAGCUUACCAGAAAGCCACGGCUAACUACGUGCCAGCAGCCGCGGUAAUACGUAGGUGGCAAGCGUUAUCCGGAAUCAUUGGGCGUAAAGGGUGCGUAGGUGGCACGAUAAGUCUGAAGUAAAAGGCAACAGCUCAACUGUUGUAUGCUUUGGAAACUGUCGAGCUAGAGUGCAGAAGAGGGCGAUGGAAUUCCAUGUGUAGCGGUAAAAUGCGUAGAUAUAUGGAGGAACACCAGUGGCGAAGGCGGUCGCCUGGUCUGUAACUGACACUGAUGCGCGAAAGCGUGGGGAGCAAAUAGGAUUAGAUACC
RNAcentral lists this ribosomal RNA (440 nucleotides) under uncultured bacterium. RNAcentral describes it as "bacterial SSU rRNA". It matches the Rfam family "Bacterial small subunit ribosomal RNA", at positions 355 to 786 of the family's 1533-position model. The record is from RNAcentral.